Molecule: ribosomal RNA, 433 nt
Filed under: uncultured bacterium
Lineage: Bacteria
Description: partial 16S ribosomal RNA
Rfam family: Bacterial small subunit ribosomal RNA
Source: RNAcentral
AACGAACGCUGGCGGCAUGCCUAACACAUGCAAGUCGAACGAGACCUUCGGGUCUAGUGGCGCACGGGUGCGUAACGCGUGGGAACCUGCCCUUAGGUUCGGAAUAACUCCCCGAAAGGGGUGCUAAUACCGGAUAAUGUCUUCAGACCAAAGAUUUAUCGCCUUUGGAUGGGCCCGCGUUGGAUUAGCUAGUUGGUAGGGUAAAAGCCUACCAAGGCGACGAUCCAUAGCUGGUCUGAGAGGAUGAUCAGCCACACUGGGACUGAGACACGGCCCAGACUCCUACGGGAGGCAGCAGUGGGGAAUAUUGGACAAUGGGCGAAAGCCUGAUCCAGCAAUGCCGCGUGAGUGAUGAAGGCGUUAGGGUUGUAAAGCUCUUUUACACGGGAUGAUAAUGACAGUACCGGGAGAAUAAGCUCCGGCUAACUCCGUG